This 1253-nucleotide long non-coding RNA is filed under the name Betta splendens (Siamese fighting fish). RNAcentral's name for it is "lncRNA (ENSBSLG00000026236.1)". Lineage: Eukaryota; Metazoa; Chordata; Actinopteri; Anabantiformes; Osphronemidae. The record is from RNAcentral.
CUUUGCGAAGCACGUGGGGCGAGCACGCGCGCGAGCUCGCGUCUGUUUUGAUGCGUAAAACUCAUCAAGAUCUACUGGAUGAACACACAUCCAGGUAAAGACCCUUCAGUUACUCUGAAACACCUGGGCUCAAGUUAUGAUUUGCCACGUGCUGGCUCUAAUGGUGCAGCUAAUUGCUCAGGUUGUUUAGCUGUGAGGAAUGCUGUAGAGGAGUGCGUGCGCAGGGCUGCUCCCUUUGCUUGAUCGCCAAGAGCACAUCAUAAUGGGCGGAGGGGAAGAGAAAGAAGAGGAUUUCUUUCUCCCACCAAAUUGUAGCCAAUUUAAGGACAAAGCGCUACCCUCUAGUUCGUCAGAGUAGGAGUCUCACUCAUAAAAGAAGACUGACAGUCGGGCAUCCAAAUCUCAUUCAAGGACGCAAUUUCCAAAUGCUAAUCAUAAUCUGCAGAUGUUGGCCACUGAUACAUGCGCUUAUUUAUUUAUUUCCUAGGCGCGUCUGUGCCCAUUUGGACGGCUUGUGAUAUCUGAAACAAAGAAGGGGAAAAUCCCUCCUUUUUGAGGCGCGCGGACAUCUGCACCGCCGGUGGAGGGACCGCGCACGCCGGCCGGCGCCGGAGCGCGUGCACGCACACGGGAAGUGCUGGACACGUGCACGCACACACACACAGACACACACGUGCAACGCCGAACCCCUUCCUCCUUUUCUACUCUCCCCUUCUCUUCGGGUCGUUUUAGAGUAGCUCAGAUGUGUCAUCAGACAUUGGUUUGCAUCUGAACCUGAGGGAAAAAAGAAAUACUUGACAGAAAGGUAUAUAAAAAGAGGACACUCUGAAUUUUUGACAUUCUUCGCACAGCUGCUUCAAAAUGAGUAGGAUGGAGAGGUAAGGGAAAAGCAACUCCAAGACACGGUUUUGUUUAUUUGCUGCCUUUUCUCCCUUCCCUCUUUCAGGGAGAUGGAGGCUAGCGCGAGGCCACAACUCACUCAUCCUUGUAUAGAGGGACUCAGGCGCAGGGCCGUGAAAGAGAAAUAGGCACGGCUAAAUGAAUUCUGGGAUCUGUUCUAUUCAGCCCAACUCAAAAAGGAUAACCCUUUUAUCCAUUUAGAUACCAAAUGCAAGGUGAAACCCAACUCAACUUGUCAGCUAGGUGACAUUAAAUACACGGCUUCCUUUGAUGGGUAAGUAGCAACCAGAGCUUUUAACCACUAAUUAAAGUGUGCGCCCGCUGUGUUUGUGAGCGUGUGUUUUUGGUUUCGA